This 116-nucleotide ribosomal RNA is filed under the name Pteropus alecto (black flying fox). The record is from RNAcentral. Lineage: Eukaryota; Metazoa; Chordata; Mammalia; Chiroptera; Pteropodidae.
ACUUAGAAUGAAAAUUCCUUUGGGCCCGAUCCCGUCUGAUCUCAGAAGCUAAGCAGAGUCGGGCCUGGUUAGUACUUGGAUGGGAGACCACCUAGGAAGACCAGGUGCUAUAGGCA